UGCAGUCGAACGAUGAAGCCCUUCGGGGUGGAUUAGUGGCGAACGGGUGAGUAACACGUGGGCAAUCUGCCCUUCACUCUGGGACAAGCCCUGGAAACGGGGUCUAAUACCGGAUAACACCGGCUUCCGCAUGGGAGCUGGUUAAAAGCUCCGGCGGUGAAGGAUGAGCCCGCGGCCUAUCAGCUUGUUGGUGGGGUAAUGGCCUACCAAGGCGACGACGGGUAGCCGGCCUGAGAGGGCGACCGGCCACACUGGGACUGAGACACGGCCCAGACUCCUACGGGAGGCAGCAGUGGGGAAUAUUGCACAAUGGGCGAAAGCCUGAUGCAGCGACGCCGCGUGAGGGAUGACGGCCUUCGGGUUGUAAACCUCUUUCAGCAGGGAAGAAGCGAAAGUGACGGUACCUGCAGAAGAAGCGCCGGCUAACUACGUGCCAGCAGCCGCGGUAAUACGUAGGGCGCAAGCGUUGUCCGGAAUUAUUGGGCGUAAAGAGCUCGUAGGCGGCUUGUCACGUCGGGUGUGAAAGCCCGGGGCUUAACCCCGGGUCUGCAUCCGAUACGGGCAGGCUAGAGUGUGGUAGGGGAGAUCGGAAUUCCUGGUGUAGCGGUGAAAUGCGCAGAUAUCAGGAGGAACACCGGUGGCGAAGGCGGAUCUCUGGGCCAUUACUGACGCUGAGGAGCGAAAGCGUGGGGAGCGAACAGGAUUAGAUACCCUGGUAGUCCACGCCGUAUACGUUGGGAACUAGGUGUUGGCGACAUUCCACGUCGUCGGUGCCGCAGCUAACGCAUUAAGUUCCCCGCCUGGGGAGUACGGCCGCAAGGCUAAAACUCAGAGGAAUUGACGGGGGCCCGCACAAGCAGCGGAGCAUGUGGCUUAAUUCGACGCAACGCGAAGAACCUUACCAAGGCUUGACAUAUACCGGAAAGCAUUAGAGAUAGUGCCCCCCUUGUGGUCGGUAUACAGGUGGUGCAUGGCUGUCGUCAGCUCGUGUCGUGAGAUGUUGGGUUAAGUCCCGCAACGAGCGCAACCCUUGUCCUGUGUUGCCAGCAUGCCCUUCGGGGUGAUGGGGACUCACAGGAGACCGCCGGGGUCAACUCGGAGGAAGGUGGGGACGACGUCAAGUCAUCAUGCCCCUUAUGUCUUGGGCUGCACACGUGCUACAAUGGCCGGUACAAAGAGCUGCGAUGCCGUGAGGCGGAGCGAAUCUCAAAAAGCCGGUCUCAGUUCGGAUUGGGGUCUGCAACUCGACCCCAUGAAGUAGGAGUUGCUAGUAAUCGCAGAUCAGCAUUGAUGCGGUGAAUACGUUCCCGGGCCUUGUACACACCGCCCGUCACGUCACGAAAGUCGGUAACACCCGAAGCCGGUGGCCCAACCCCUUGUGGGAGGGAGCU
RNAcentral lists this ribosomal RNA (1391 nucleotides) under Streptomyces venezuelae. RNAcentral describes it as "bacterial SSU rRNA". It matches the Rfam family "Bacterial small subunit ribosomal RNA". The record is from RNAcentral. Lineage: Bacteria; Bacillati; Actinomycetota; Actinomycetes; Kitasatosporales; Streptomycetaceae.